GAUGAACGCUGGCGGCGUGCCUAAUACAUGCAAGUCGAGCGAACAGACGAGGAGCUUGCUCCUCUGACGUUAGCGGCGGACGGGUGAGUAACACGUGGAUAACCUACCUAUAAGACUGGGAUAACUUCGGGAAACCGGAGCUAAUACCGGAUAAUAUAUUGAACCGCAUGGUUCAAUAGUGAAAGUCGGUUUUGCUGUCACUUAUAGAUGGAUCCGCGCCGCAUUAGCUAGUUGGUAAGGUAACGGCUUACCAAGGCAACGAUGCGUAGCCGACCUGAGAGGGUGAUCGGCCACACUGGAACUGAGACACGGUCCAGACUCCUACGGGAGGCAGCAGUAGGGAAUCUUCCGCAAUGGGCGAAAGCCUGACGGAGCAACGCCGCGUGAGUGAUGAAGGUCUUCGGAUCGUAAAACUCUGUUAUUAGGGAAGAACAAAUGUGUAAGUAACUAUGCACGUAUUGACGGUACCUAAUCAGAAAGCCACGGCUAACUACGUG
RNAcentral lists this ribosomal RNA (497 nucleotides) under uncultured bacterium. RNAcentral's name for it is "partial 16S ribosomal RNA". It matches the Rfam family "Bacterial small subunit ribosomal RNA", at positions 28 to 507 of the family's 1533-position model. The record is from RNAcentral.